UCCGCUAUAGCUCAGUGGUAGAGCAAUCGGCUGUUAACCGAUCGGUCGGUGGUUCGAGCCCACCUGGCGGAG
This 72-nucleotide transfer RNA is filed under the name Candidatus Sericytochromatia bacterium. RNAcentral describes it as "tRNA-Asn". It matches the Rfam family "tRNA". Rfam says of the family: Transfer RNA (tRNA) molecules are approximately 80 nucleotides in length. Lineage: Bacteria; Bacillati; Candidatus Sericytochromatia. The record is from RNAcentral.